This 432-nucleotide ribosomal RNA is filed under the name uncultured bacterium. Its description in RNAcentral is "bacterial SSU rRNA". It matches the Rfam family "Bacterial small subunit ribosomal RNA", at positions 37 to 507 of the family's 1533-position model. The record is from RNAcentral.
CGCGUGGCGGUGUGCUUCACACAUGCAAGUCGAACGAGGUAGCAAUACCUAGUGGCGGACGGGUGAGUAACGCGUGGGAAUCUGCCUUUAGAUGGGGGAUAACGGGUCGAAAGACUCGCUAAUACCGCAUAUGACGAAAGUUGAAAGGAGUAAUCCGUCUAAAGAUGAGCCCGCGUCCGAUUAGCUAGUUGGUAGAGUAAAAGCCUACCAAGGCGACGAUCGGUAGCUGGUCUGAGAGGAUGAUCAGCCACAAUGGGACUGAGACACGGCCCAUACUCCUACGGGAGGCAGCAGUGGGGAAUUUUACGCAAUGGGCGAAAGCCUGACGUAGCGACACCGCGUGAGCGAAGAAGCCCCUUGGGGUGUAAAGCUCUGUCAGCUGGAACGAAAAAAAUGACGGUACCAGCAGAGGAAGCAUCGGCUAACUACGUG